AGGUCCUGCUGGGUUAAAGUGCUAGCUACCAAAACUGAUGACCUGUGUUCAAUCCCUAGGAACCACAUGAUAGAAAGAGAGAAUGACCCCUGCAAGUUAGCCUCUGAUUUGUACAAGUGCUUGGUGGCACAUGACCCCACAAGUAAAAAUGUAAUACAUUUUUUUAAAAGUAGGGUGGGUGAUGGCUUAGUUGAUAAAGUACUUGCCACUUAAGUAUGGGGGCUUGUAUCCCCCAUAUAAGUAUCUCCAGACUCACGUGCAAAAGCCUGCACAGUGGUGUGCACAUUUAGUUUACUACUGGAGAGGCAGAGAUAGGCAGGUCCCUGGACUGAGACAAGUCUAACUGGUGAAACCAAACCUCAAAAACCAAACAAAUAAAAACACCCCAAGGUGGACAAUGCCCAAAGAUGACAAGUAAAGCUGUUGUCUAUCCUCAGCAUGUACACACUGACACCUGCUUCUACACACAGAACAUUUGCACACACCUGCACAUAAUACCUCCGACCCAAGAUGACUACUACUCUUUGUUUUCUGCCAUCCUGAGAUGUUUUCCUCAGGCUCUCACUGACUGUGUAGAAGAGAAUGGAAACUGCAAGAUGGAGGGUCCAGAAGAAGAGAAAGAAACCUGGGAUGUAGUGCAGAGGUAUCAACAUGGUCCCUAACCUGCCCCCCACCCCGCCCCAGGGAUACAUUCACUAGGGACAGGUGAUCAUAACCAGGCUUAAGUGCUUGAUUGUUUGUGACACACAGCAGGGCAGAAAUUAGUGGAAACCAUACCAUGGAUAUCAUCAUCAUCAUCAUCAUCAUCAUCAUCAUCACCAUCAUCAUCCUCAUCGAGGAGGUUGAAGCUUCACCUUAUCAGUGGAAGAGAAAACAUUCCUCUCACUGUUUAAAGUUGCUGCUUCCAAUAUAGUCAACCAUAGCCACAGGUGUCUACAGAUCUUUGAAAUGCCAAGCCUAAGUGGAGGU
This 969-nucleotide long non-coding RNA is filed under the name Cricetulus griseus (Chinese hamster). Its description in RNAcentral is "lncRNA (ENSCGRG00000025038.1)". Lineage: Eukaryota; Metazoa; Chordata; Mammalia; Rodentia; Cricetidae. The record is from RNAcentral.